This 87-nucleotide non-coding RNA is filed under the name unclassified sequences. The record is from RNAcentral.
AAUAGUCUGCCACCGGGUAGGAAUGUAAAAACAUUCGUGUGCAUAUCGUUAGGUCUUUGAAGAUAUGCAUAUGAAUGUUUUAUUUUU